RNAcentral lists this ribosomal RNA (247 nucleotides) under uncultured bacterium. RNAcentral's name for it is "partial 16S ribosomal RNA". It matches the Rfam family "Bacterial small subunit ribosomal RNA", at positions 523 to 769 of the family's 1533-position model. The record is from RNAcentral.
AUACGGAGGGUGCAAGCGUUGUUCGGAUUUAUUGGGCGUAAAGCGCGUGUAGGCGGUUUUUUAAGUCUGAUGUGGAAGCCCCGGGCUCAACCUGGGAAGUGCAUUGGAUACUGGAAGACUUGAGUACGGGAGAGGGUAGUGGAAUUCCUAGUGUAGGAGUGAAAUCCGUAGAUAUUGGGAGGAACACCGGUGGCGAAGGCGGCUGCCUGGACCGAUACUGACGCUGAGACGCGAAAGCGUGGGGAGC